GAUGAACGCUGACAGAAUGCUUAACACAUGCAAGUCGAUGGGGAAGUGGUGCUUGCACCAUGGUAACCAUGGCGGACGGGUGAGUAACGCGUAAGGAACUUGCCUGCGGGACUGGGAUAACAGCAGGAAACUGCUGAUAAUACCGGAUAAGGUCAUUAAGCUGCAUAGCUUAGUGAUGAAAGGAGACGCCUGCGGAGAGCCUUGCGUCCUAUUAGCUAGUUGGAGGGGUAACGGCCCACCAAGGCGAAGAUAGGUAGCCGGCGUGAGAGGGUGGACGGCCAAAAUGGGACUGGGAGACGGAGCUGACUCUUACGGGAGGAAGCAGAGGGGCAUAUCGGACAACGGCGGCAACCCUGAUCAAGCUAUUCUGUGUGAAAGAAGUGGUUUUUCGGAAUGAAAAGUGCUUUCAGCAGGGACGCAGGAAGUGACGGUACCUGCAGAAGAAGCGACGGCUAACUACGUG
This 463-nucleotide ribosomal RNA is filed under the name uncultured bacterium. Its description in RNAcentral is "partial 16S ribosomal RNA". It matches the Rfam family "Bacterial small subunit ribosomal RNA", at positions 28 to 507 of the family's 1533-position model. The record is from RNAcentral.